This 921-nucleotide ribosomal RNA is filed under the name uncultured bacterium. RNAcentral describes it as "bacterial SSU rRNA". It matches the Rfam family "Bacterial small subunit ribosomal RNA", at positions 56 to 936 of the family's 1533-position model. The record is from RNAcentral.
UGCAGUCGNNCGACAGCGCGAGGAGCUUGCUCCUUGGCGGCGAGUGGCGAACGGGUGAGUAAUGUGUAGGAAUCUACCUUAUAGUGGGGGACAACUCGAGGAAACUCGAGCUAAUACCGCAUAUUCUCUACGGAGGAAAGCAGGGGACCUUUUAGGCCUUGCGCUGUAAGAUGAGCCUACAUCGGAUUAGCCUGUUGGUAGGGUAAUGGCCUACCAAAGCAACGAUCCGUAGCUGGUUUGAGAGAAUGAUCAGCCACACUGGAACUGAGACACGGUCCAGACUCCUACGGGAGGCAGCAGUGGGGAAUAUUGGACAAUGGGAGAAACCCUGAUCCAGCAAUGCCGCGUGUGUGAAGAAGGCCUUCGGGUUGUAAAGCACUUUCAGUAGCGAAGAACAGCUUAACAGUGAAUAACUGUUAAGCUUUGACGUAACCUACAGAAGAAGCACUGGCUAACUCUGUGCCAGCAGCCGCGGUAAUACAGAGAGUGCAAGCGUUAAUCGGAAUUACUGGGCGUAAAGCGCACGUAGGUGGGUAUUUAAGUCGGAUGUGAAAUCCCCAAGCUUAACUUGGGAACUGCAUUCGAUACUGAGUACCUAGAGUAUAGUAGAGGGAAGUGGAAUUUCCGGUGUAGCGGUGAAAUGCGUAGAUAUCGGAAAGAACACCAGUGGCGAAGGCGACUUCCUGGACUAAUACUGACACUCAGGUGCGAAAGCGUGGGGAGCAAACAGGAUUAGAGACCCUGGUAGUCCACGCUGUAAACGAUGAGAACUAGAUGUUGGCCCCGCAAUUAUUUCUGUUAGAUAGACAGAGAUAAAUGCGGGGUUAGUAUCGAAGCUAACGCGUUAAGUUCUCCGCCUGGGGAGUANNGCCGCAANGUUNAAACUCAAAGGAAUUGACGGGGGCCCGCACAAGCGGUGNA